ACUCUUCCUGGCGAUGAGGCUCGCCCAAACCGUCUUAACGACUGAUAGCCUCUACCGAAAC
Molecule: non-coding RNA, 61 nt
Filed under: Anaerolineae bacterium
Lineage: Bacteria; Bacillati; Chloroflexota; Anaerolineae
Description: Fluoride sequence
Rfam family: Fluoride riboswitch aptamer (crcB RNA motif)
Source: RNAcentral